GCAGUUGGAAUGAAGGCUAUUGUCUAAAUCCUCCUGCAGAGCACCUGAUAAAAGAAUAAAGAACUAUGACAUAUUCUAAAAACAAUAGAGGAAUUAAGGGGAGACAAUAGGCCAGCUGCCUCAUUAAAACAAUCAAAAACGGCAUCCUGUACGUAGUCCAGAUAAUUAAAAACCACUGCUUCCUACAGUCUCUCAAUACCAUAUCCACCAGCUCACUGAGGCCCUGAGACUAUGGCUCUGCUGGCUAAAUGCCCUCUUCCCUCUCUUCUCUUUGAUUAGUGGUUUAUUUGAACAUGCAGUUGAAGAUGAACAUAUAAAGGAAUUCAUGAAACAAAAUUAUAAUGCAAACCCUUUCCCCCUCUAUAAGUACUCAUAAACUAAUCAAACGUCUCAGGAUGAAUCGCAGGCACUGGGGGCGUGUGUGCCCUCCCCUUUGCCUAAAGCCCUGAGAGAUUUCAAAGUGCAGGCAUCACAGGGCAUUUUUUUAAUUUCCUCACUUUAAAUGACUUUAUAAGAAAACGGAUGUGUACAGUAUCUGCGUACGUAUGGGGGAGGCUGGGAGAAUAGAGUACGAGAUACUUGAGCAGGAAUUUUUUUUUUGCUCCCUGCAAACCGCUACCACCACCACCAUAUCUUAAUGAAGCUGCAAACAAAUCUCUCAUGCCUCGUGCAAAAGCUGAGAGACAACAAAGCAGCAGAAAUAACAGAAGGGCCCGGAUAAUUAAACUGGCCUGAAGACAGGUAUUCAAAUGUUGGUGUGUAAACAGCACAACUCUUUAAUAGUUUAGCUGUAAAAUGCGUAGUUAAGCACAUCAGCACUUGCCUCUCCCAUCUGUCCAAACACAUUACCGUUGCAGAGGCCAUUACAGCACUGGAGUACAGUCCCACUGCACCGCAGCCACAUAUUAUGGGAGGGGUUGAAUGGGGCUUCUGGGAACACUAACAGCGGCCCAUUGGCAUUAUCUGAAUGCAUCAUGGGGUCAUGUAUUAUAAAGCACCACUGUGCUGUUUGAGAAAUGGGGGAGCCUGAGAACAAGAUCCAGCAGGUGUACUCAUGUGGACGUGCUUGAUGCCCCUUUUAUACAGCUUAAAGAAGAAAUAUUCAAAUACGUGAUACCAGAUUCAAUGAGUAACUAAAAUGUUCCUUUUUCAAGCUGGAUAUUGAUGUAGAGACUUCUUUUUUCCCCUUGGCCCCUUAAAGUUCCCAUCUCUGUCUAUUGGCUCGGUGCUAACUGCUGGUCUUAAUUGUGAAGUGAGGCCAGUGGUGCCUGAAGCCACAGAGAGGGUUGUAAUUAAAGACCUCUACUCUUCUUGUCUUCAAAUCAGCUCCAACUCCUCCUGGUCAAAUGGGAACAAGCUGCACGCACCUACGAAUAUCAAGUAGCUGCUCGCCGCCGCUCCUUUUUCUUUAACAAAGCUUCAUCAGAGGGGAGUGAAUUACAGUAUGACACAAUAAACAACUUCCAGUCAACUUCCCCCAGAUCUUGUGAAAAUAUUAAUCACAGAUCGCGGAUGAAUAAUAUCUGUAUCUGCACCUGACAGCAGACCUGAUGUUGCUGUGACAAACACUAAACAAAUCCUCCUCAUGAAUACUGGUAAAUAUUUGGACUGUUUCUGGAUCAUCAGAGUUGAACACAUUAGGAUGACUCAUGGCUGUCAAACCUGCCAUCACAAUCCUGAGCCGGAGCAAAGCAAGCAGCAGAAAGGAAAACGCUGAGUUAGACCCGAGCGGGAACAUCAUUCACAGGGUCAAACAAGCUUACUAUUAUUGACGGUACACUAAACUAGAAUUAGCUGACUCUACUAUUAUUUCUCUAAGGCUCUGACACAGAUUGACUCUCUCCCUCUCUAUCUCUCUUUCACUCUCUGCUGCCUCCUUCCGCUCAUGUUUCAACUCGGCCACUAGGAGGCACUCUUCUCAUGCUCAAGCUGCAGCCGGUGGAUGUUUAGCUGUGAUGAUGCAGAGACGCCUCAGACAUGGCAGGGCAGCACAUACACCAGUCUGCCUAUACAUCCUUGCAGGUUUGUCCCAUUGAGCACUCUAUUAGCUCUCCUUCUCUGCGGGUAGUGCUGCCUGUGUCCUGGUUGUGGCCAGUCGACAUGUGUUUACUGCGGCCCCCGCUGCGGCGGCAGGCUGGUUGGGGGCCCGUCCUGACCAAGCCCUGCUAAUGGGACCAGAAGACCCCUCGUGACAGGACACCGCAGCAGACCCUACCCCUCCUUCCCCUCCAGCUGCGGCCCCGUGGCCCAUGUCCCCCUACCCAUCAUGCCUCGGCGGGAGCAGGUGAACGGCGUGGGGCCAACGGCGGCGAGCUCGGUUUUCCUGGGAGAGCAGCGCGCCAUCGCCACGCGCCUCAGUGGUUCCUCCAACAUGGCUCCGGCCCUACGCCACAUGGGCUGGCUGGCCGGUCUGUGUGUGUGUGGGUGUAUGUGUGCGUGUGUGUGUGUGUAUUUGGGGGUGUAUGGUGGAUGCCAGCCCUAAUGCAAAUGCUUGCCGUUUAAAAAAUGGGAGCCUCUCUCCUCCUCUGUCUCUCCUCUUUGGAAAGGUCUAUUUUGGCCUUCUGGUGCUGGCAGUUAUUUUUUUCCUCUCCAGAAGGACAGAGAGCCAGAGAGAUGCACCUGUCAUCCAUUUUGGAAUUCAACAUUUAUUGAUCUGGUCAUGAGGAAUGGAAUUUAUGAAGUUAUGUGUUUUUUUCUUUAUGAAUUCCCACUGAUUUAUGUCUUAAAAUGUGCAUUUCUUAUUUGCAAAGGGAGCCUUAUUUACAAGCCUGCUAAUUGGGUAUUCACAGCACAGCAAUAGACAGAAUACAAACACACACACACACACUCUCUUGACACACACACACCAAUCACUGCUGCAACAUCCCAGCAUGCCCUCUGUCUCUGCACCCCUGUAAUUCUACAUAAUGCUUAAAGUAUGUGCUAAUUAAAUUUUCUGUCGGUUUGCAAGAGAAAUAAAUAAUCU
Molecule: long non-coding RNA, 2965 nt
Organism: Acanthochromis polyacanthus (spiny chromis)
Lineage: Eukaryota; Metazoa; Chordata; Actinopteri; Pomacentridae
Exons: 2
Source: RefSeq, a predicted model, not a curated record